CUAAUCAAAGCUAAAGGAUAGUUAUCCCAAAGCCAGGGACAUGGCUGAAAGGUCCUGAAACCAGUGCUGGCAGCCCAGUUUACCAGUUCCUAAUCUAUUUAACCAAUCUGCCUGGAAACACUGUGAAAGAAAAUGUAAGUGAGGAUGAGGAGACUCAAGUUCUAAUUACACAUUUUUUUCUCUUCUGCAGGCUUUUUUUCCCUAAUUAAAAAAAAAAAAAAAAAAAAGGUUCUCUUGAGCUCCAAGCAGCUGCAGCAUCUUUCCCAGAUCCCAGCCCACCUCUCUGCACCAGCUGCCGAGGGAGUUACACAGCAGCCUCUGGACACCAAUGGCCCACGGGGGAGGAGGAGAAGCCACAGGAGCUCCUGUACCUGCUUGCCCUGGGGCAGGAGGUUCAGCGUGCCGUACACCACCACGCUGCUCUCCGUGGACA
Molecule: non-coding RNA, 433 nt
Organism: Taeniopygia guttata (zebra finch)
Lineage: Eukaryota; Metazoa; Chordata; Aves; Passeriformes; Estrildidae
Source: RefSeq, a predicted model, not a curated record